GGUCAAGUGAAGAAGCGCAUACGGUGGAUGCCUUGGCAGUCAGAGGCGAUGAAAGACGUUGUAGCCUGCGAUAAGCUCCGGGGAGUCGGCAAACAGACUUUGAUCCGGAGAUCUCUGAAUGGGGGAACCCAGCCAGCAUAAGCUGGUUAUUACACACUGAAUACAUAGGUGUGUAAGGCGAACCAGGGGAACUGAAACAUCUAAGUACCCUGAGGAAUAGAAAUCAACCGAGAUUCCCUUAGUAGUGGCGAGCGAACGGGGACUAGCCCUUAAGUUGAUUUGAGUGUAGUGGAAGGCUCUGGAAAGUGCCGCCGUAGUGGGUGAUAGCCCCGUACACGAAACGCUCUUAUCAAUGAAAUCGAGUAGGACGGGGCACGAGAAACCUUGUCUGAACAUGGGGGGACCAUCCUCCAAGGCUAAAUACUACUGACUGACCGAUAGUGAACUAGUACCGUGAGGGAAAGGCGAAAAGAACCCCGGAGAGGGGAGUGAAAUAGAUCCUGAAACCGUAUGCGUACAAGCAGUGGGAGCCUACUUUGUUGGGUGACUGCGUACCUUUUGUAUAAUGGGUCAGCGACUUAUAUUCAGUGGCGAGCUUAACCGAAUAGGGGAGGCGUAGCGAAAGCGAGUCUUAAUAGGGCGACAGUCGCUGGGUAUAGACCCGAAACCGGGCGAUCUAUCCAUGGGCAGGUUGAAGGUUGGG
RNAcentral lists this ribosomal RNA (703 nucleotides) under Hydrogenophaga sp. Its description in RNAcentral is "partial 23S ribosomal RNA". It matches the Rfam family "Bacterial large subunit ribosomal RNA", at positions 1 to 756 of the family's 2925-position model. Lineage: Bacteria; Pseudomonadati; Pseudomonadota; Betaproteobacteria; Burkholderiales; Comamonadaceae. The record is from RNAcentral.